GCCAGCCCGCUCAGAAACUUAAGGAAUGACGGGGCCCGCACAAGCGGAGGAACAUGUGGUUUAAUUCGAUGAUACGCGAGGAACCUUACCUGGGCUAGAACGCAUUCGGAAUCAGGCCGAAAGGCCUGCGCCAGCGAUGGCCGCUUGCGAGGUGCUGCAUGGUUGUCGUCAGCUCGUGCCGUGAGGUGUCGGGUUAAGUCCCAUAACGAGCGCAACCCCUACUGCUAGUUGCCAGCGGGUCAUGCCGGGGACUCUAGCGGAACUGCCAGCGUAAGCUGCGAGGAAGGUGGGGAUGACGUCAAGUCAUCAUGGCCCUUACGGCCUGGGCUACACACGUGCUACAAUGGUCGGUACAAAGGGUUGCCAAGCCGCGAGGUGGAGCUAAUCCCAUAAAACCGAUCGUAGUCCGGAUCGCAGUCUGCAACUCGACUGCGUGAAGUCGGAAUCGCUAGUAAUCGUGAAUCAGAAUGUCACGGUGAAUACGUUCCCGGGCCUU
This 496-nucleotide ribosomal RNA is filed under the name uncultured Pseudomonadaceae bacterium. Its description in RNAcentral is "bacterial SSU rRNA". It matches the Rfam family "Bacterial small subunit ribosomal RNA", at positions 904 to 1382 of the family's 1533-position model. The record is from RNAcentral. Lineage: Bacteria; Pseudomonadati; Pseudomonadota; Gammaproteobacteria; Pseudomonadales; Pseudomonadaceae.